RNAcentral lists this ribosomal RNA (407 nucleotides) under uncultured bacterium. Its description in RNAcentral is "partial 16S ribosomal RNA". It matches the Rfam family "Bacterial small subunit ribosomal RNA", at positions 28 to 526 of the family's 1533-position model. The record is from RNAcentral.
GAUGAACGCUAGCUGUAGGCUUAACACAUGCAAGUCGAGGGACCGGCGCACGGGUGAGUCACGCGUAUCCAACCUGCCCCUAACUAAGGGAUAACCCAGCGAAAGUUGGACUAAUCCCUUAUGGUUAUGGAUUGUGAUGCGUCUGAUUAGCUUGUUGGAGGGGUAACGGCCCACCAAGUCAACGCUCAGUAGGGGUUCUGAGAGGAAGGGCACCCAGAUUGAAACUGAGACCCGGGCCAAACGCCUACGGGAGGCAGAAGGGAGGAAUAGUGGGCAAAGGACGUAAGGCUGAACCAGCAAAGUAGCGUGCAGGAUGACGGCCUAUGGGGUUUAAACUGCUUUUAUAAGGGGAUAGGUACCAGAUGAAUAAGGACCGGCUAAUUACGUGCCAGCAGCCGCGGUAAUAC